GACGAACGCUGGCGGCGCGCCUAACACAUGCAAGUCGAACGAGCGAGAGAGAGCUUGCUUUCUCGAGCGAGUGGCGAACGGGUGAGUAACGAGUAAGGAACCUGCCUCAAAGAGGGGGACAACAGUUGGAAACGACUACUCAUACCGCAUAAGCCCACGGCUCGGCAUGGGGCGGGGGGAAAAGGCGCAAUCCGGUUUGAGAUGGCCUCGCGUCCGAUUAGCUAGUUGGUGGGGUAACGGCCCACCAAGGCGACGAGCGGUAGCCGGACGGAGAGGUUGAACGGCCACAUUGGGACUCAGACACGGCCCAGACUCCUACGGGAGGCAGCAGUGGGGAAUAUUGCACCAUGGGGGAAACCCUGAUGCAGCGACGCCGCGAUGAGGAAGAAGGUCUUCUGAUUGUCAACUCCUGUGGUUGGGGAAGAUAAUGACGGUACCCACCAAGGAAGCGACGGCUAACUACGUG
RNAcentral lists this ribosomal RNA (466 nucleotides) under uncultured bacterium. RNAcentral's name for it is "partial 16S ribosomal RNA". It matches the Rfam family "Bacterial small subunit ribosomal RNA", at positions 28 to 507 of the family's 1533-position model. The record is from RNAcentral.